RNAcentral lists this ribosomal RNA (495 nucleotides) under uncultured bacterium. RNAcentral describes it as "partial 16S ribosomal RNA". It matches the Rfam family "Bacterial small subunit ribosomal RNA", at positions 28 to 507 of the family's 1533-position model. The record is from RNAcentral.
GACGAACGCUGGCGGCGUGCCUAAUACAUGCAAGUAGAACGCUGAAGGAGGAGCUUGCUUCUCUGGAUGAGUUGCGAACGGGUGAGUAACGCGUAGGUAACCUGCCUGGUAGCGGGGGAUAACUCUUGGAAACGAUAGCUAAUACCGCAUAAGAGUAGAUGUUGCAUGACAUUUUCUUAAAAGGUGCAAUUGCAUCACUACCAGAUGGACCUGCGUUGUAUUAGCUAGUUGUUGGGGUAACGGCGCACCAAGGCGACGAUACAUAGCCGACCGGAGAGGAUGAUCGGCCACACUGGGACUGAGACACGGCCCAGACUCCUACGGGAGGCAGCAGUAGGGAAUCUGCGGGAAUGGACGGAAGUCUGACCGAGCAACGCCGCGUGAGUGAAGAAGGUUUUCGGGUCGUAAAGCACGGUUGUAAGGGAAGAACGAGUGUGAGAGUGGAAAGAUCACACUGUGACGGUAUCUUACCAGAAAGGGACGGCUAACUACGUG